RNAcentral lists this ribosomal RNA (385 nucleotides) under uncultured bacterium. RNAcentral describes it as "bacterial SSU rRNA". It matches the Rfam family "Bacterial small subunit ribosomal RNA", at positions 106 to 487 of the family's 1533-position model. The record is from RNAcentral.
GUGAGUAAAGUAUCGGAACGUGCCCAGUCGUGGGGGAUAACGUAGCGAAAGCUACGCUAAUACCGCAUACGAUCUGAGGAUGAAAGCGGGGGACCGUAAGGCCUCGCGCGAUCGGAGCGGCCGAUGUCAGAUUAGGUAGUUGGUGGGGUAAAGGCCUACCAAGCCGACGAUCUGUAGCUGGUCUGAGAGGACGACCAGCCACACUGGGACUGAGACACGGCCCAGACUCCUACGGGAGGCAGCAGUGGGGAAUUUUGGACAAUGGGCGCAAGCCUGAUCCAGCAAUGCCGCGUGCAGGAAGAAGGCCUUCGGGUUGUAAACUGCUUUUGUACGGAGCGAAAAGGCUCUCUCUAAUACAGGGGGCUGAUGACGGUACCGUAAGAAU